This 492-nucleotide ribosomal RNA is filed under the name uncultured bacterium. RNAcentral describes it as "partial 16S ribosomal RNA". It matches the Rfam family "Bacterial small subunit ribosomal RNA", at positions 29 to 507 of the family's 1533-position model. The record is from RNAcentral.
AGUGAACGCUGGCGGUAGGCCUAACACAUGCAAGUCGAACGGCAGCACAGUAAGAGCUUGCUCUUACGGUUGGCGAGUGGCGGAUGGGUGAGGAAUACAUCGGCAUCUACUUUUUCGUGGGGGAUAACGUAGGGAAACUUACGCUAAUACCGCAUACGGCCUACGGGUGAAAGCAUGGGAUCUUCGGACCUUGCGCGAUUGAAUGAGCCGAUGUCGGAUUAGCUAGUUGGCGGGGUAAAGGCCCACCAAGGCGACGAUCCGUAGCUGGUCUGAGAGGAUGAUCAGCCACACUGGGACUGAGACACGGUCCAGACUCCUACGGGAGGCAGCAGUGGGGAAUAUUGGACAAUGGGCGCAAGCCUGAUCCAGCCAUACCGCGUGGGUGAAGAAGGCCUUCGGGUUGUAAAGCCCUUUUGUUGGGAAAGAAAAGCAGCAGGUUAAUACCCCGCUGUUCUGACGGUACCCAAAGAAUAAGCACCGGCUAACUUCGUG